RNAcentral lists this ribosomal RNA (476 nucleotides) under uncultured Curtobacterium sp. Its description in RNAcentral is "bacterial SSU rRNA". It matches the Rfam family "Bacterial small subunit ribosomal RNA", at positions 910 to 1382 of the family's 1533-position model. The record is from RNAcentral. Lineage: Bacteria; Bacillati; Actinomycetota; Actinomycetes; Micrococcales; Microbacteriaceae.
UUGACGGGGGCCCGCACAAGCGGCGGAGCAUGCGGAUUAAUUCGAUGCAACGCGAAGAACCUUACCAAGGCUUGACAUACACCGGUAACGCCCAGAGAUGGGUGCCCCUUUGUGGUCGGUGUACAGGUGGUGCAUGGUUGUCGUCAGCUCGUGUCGUGAGAUGUUGGGUUAAGUCCCGCAACGAGCGCAACCCUCGUCCUAUGUUGCCAGCGGGUCAUGCCGGGGACCCAUGGGAGGACUGCCGGGGUCGAACUCGGAGGAAGGUGGGAGUGACGUCAAAUCAUCAUGCCCCUUACUGUCUUUGGGCUUCACGCAUGCUACAAUGGCCGGUACAAAGGGCUGCGAUACCGCGAGGUGGAGCGAAUCCCAGAAAGCUGGUCUCAGUUCGGAUUGGGGUCUGCAACUCGACCCCAUGAAGUCGGAGUCGCUAGUAAUCGCAGAUCAGCAACGCUGCGGUGAAUACGUUCCCGGGCCUU